AGGGAAUCUUCGGCAAUGGGCGAAAGCCUGACCGAGCAACGCCGCGUGAGUGAUGAAGGCUUUCGGGUCGUAAAACUCUGUUGCCAGAGAAGAACGUCCAGGAGAGUAACUGCUCUUGGAGUGACGGUAUCUGAGAAGAAAGCCCCGGCUAACUACGUGCCAGCAGCCGCGGUGAUACGUAGGGGGCAAGCGUUGUCCGGAAUUAUUGGGCGUAAAGCGCGCGCAGGCGGUUGUUUAAGUCUGGGGUUUAAGUUCGGGGCUCAACCCCGUAUCGCCCUGGAAACUGGGGAACUGGAGUGUAGGAGAGGAAAGUGGAAUUCCACGUGUAGCGGUGAAAUGCGUAGAGAUGUGGAGGAACACCAGUGGCGAAGGCGACUUUCUGGCCUAUAACUGACGCUGAGUCGCGAAAGCGUGGGGAGCAAAC
Molecule: ribosomal RNA, 424 nt
Filed under: uncultured bacterium
Lineage: Bacteria
Description: bacterial SSU rRNA
Rfam family: Bacterial small subunit ribosomal RNA
Source: RNAcentral